CCUACGGGAGGCAGCAGUGGGGAAUAUUGGGCAAUGGGCGCAAGCCUGACCCAGCAACGCCGCGUGAAGGAAGAAGGCUCUCGGGUUGUAAACUUCUUUUAUCAGGGACGAAGCAAGUGACGGUACCUGAUGAAUAAGCCACGGCUAACUACGUGCCAGCAGCCGCGGUAAUACGUAGGUGGCAAGCGUUAUCCGGAUUUACUGGGUGUAAAGGGCGUGUAGGCGGGAAAGCAAGUCAGAUGUGAACACCAUGGGCUCAACCUGUGGCCUGCAUUUGAAACUGGUUAUCUUGAGUACUGGAGAGGCAAACGGAAUUCCUAGUGUAGCGGUGAAAUGCGUAGAUAUUAGGAGGAACACCAGUGGCGAAGGCGGUCUGCUGGACAGCAACUGACGCUGAGGCGCGAAAGCGUGGGGAGCAAACAGGAUUAGAUACCCGGGUAGUC
RNAcentral lists this ribosomal RNA (443 nucleotides) under uncultured bacterium. Its description in RNAcentral is "partial 16S ribosomal RNA". It matches the Rfam family "Bacterial small subunit ribosomal RNA", at positions 338 to 795 of the family's 1533-position model. The record is from RNAcentral.